RNAcentral lists this ribosomal RNA (468 nucleotides) under uncultured bacterium. Its description in RNAcentral is "partial 16S ribosomal RNA". It matches the Rfam family "Bacterial small subunit ribosomal RNA", at positions 28 to 507 of the family's 1533-position model. The record is from RNAcentral.
GACGAACGCUGGCGGCGUGCUUAACACAUGCAAGUCGAACGGAAAGGCCCUGCUUUUGUGGGGUGCUCGAGUGGCGAACGGGUGAGUAACACGUGAGUAACCUGCCCUUGACUUUGGGAUAACUUCAGGAAACUGGGGCUAAUACCGGAUAGGAGCUCCUGCUGCAUGGUGGGGGUUGGAAAGUUUCGGCGGUUGGGGAUGGACACGCGGCUUAUCAGCUUGUUGGUGGGGUAGUGGCUUACCAAGGCUUUGACGGGUAGCCGGCAUGAGAGGGUGACCGGCCACAUUGGGACUGAGAUACGGCCCAGAGUACUACGGGAGGCAGAAGUGGGGAAUAUUGCACAAUGGGCGGAAGCCUGAUGCAGCAACGCCGCGUGCGGGAUGACGGCCUUCGGGUUGUAAACCGCUUUCGCAUGUGACGAAGCGUGAGUGACGGUAAUGGGUAAAGAAGCACCGGCUAACUACGUG